Long non-coding RNA from Cyprinus carpio carpio, 1238 nucleotides. NCBI's taxonomy places the organism in Eukaryota, Metazoa, Chordata, Actinopteri, Cypriniformes, Cyprinidae. The record is from Ensembl.
AGCAACUACGUAGCAACCAUGUUCUAAAAACUCUUCACAUUUCAAAACCCAUGUUUUUGCUACAUGUGUUUUGAAUAAGCAAGCAUUAUGUAUUUUUUUAAAUAUUGUGUGUUUUAUUUUGUAAAUUUCCAUUGUCUUUAAAACAUGAAUAUCGCUUUAAAUGUUUUCUUUGAAGAAUUAUGACGUUCUUGCUAUCAAGGGCUUAUGCAAUCAGCAUAAACCAAAACCUAAUGCUGGUUCACUGGCUAGUUUGUUUUUUAUUUAUUUAUUAAUUUAUUUUUUCAGCAGGAAUGGUUCAGGCGGGGUAAAAUACUCUGAACAACACAACCACAGCCAUUUACUCACUAGGUGUCCACUUAUUCAUUUUCAGGAAAUUUAGCUGAAGUGGCCUCUUAUUAUCUGAAGUACUAAUUGAACCUAUUUUCCUUUUCGAAGCCUGUCUACCUGCAUUCAUUUUAAAGCAAUAACUCAUGGAUGAGCAACACCACUCAUUGGCAACCACUCACACUGAUGGCUCCACUUAUGUGGUGACCAAAACAGCAGCACCUCCCCACAGUCAGAUCACGAAUCGCAGUGACUUCAUCUCCACGUUAUGCAAUUAAAUCACGUCCCAAAACACUCCAUUUAUUUUGGAUUGUCUUCAGGCGUUGUGUUGAAUAUCAGGAGCGAGAUAACAACAGCGAUGGUAACCGGGUCAGUGAAGUCGAACACACAGGCCGAAACAAGACCAAAGGGACCGUCGGUCAGAACAUCUCCGCCAACUGGCUACCUACACGGACUCUUUGAGGCUUGCAGGAACACGGAUCUGCAGCGAUCGUUAGAGCAGCAAACUGUUUCCUGCGCCGGGAAAAAAAUAAAUAUUUGAAUAUUCUCAGGCGCUCCUAAACCAGCUUAAAUUGGAUCAUUUUAUUGUGCCGCUCCACCCUGCCAAAAUGCCAAGAGAGUGUGGGUUUUGGCGAAGGCCGGCACUCCUGAAUCUCCCCCCCACCCCUCUGCACUAUCUGCUGACACAGAGUCUUGCCCCAGGCCGAAGCUCUCCGCAUGGCCAGCCCCCUGCUGGGAAAAGAUGCACUGAGCUGGAGGCGCCCCAGCACACAACUGGCCAGCAGGCCACUCAAUGCGUGACACCUCACAUAUGUGUGCGCCGCCCUUUUAUACAGAAUGUACAGCACUUCGAGUGUUGCUCCCAGUAAUUAAAAGUAGUUUUGCUUUGCACUGAGUAUACUUCAUAUUUACUG